UAAUAAGUGUUUAUGGCACUUUUUAAAUCCAUAUCCACCUUGUGUGCAAUGUCAGUCGAUCUUCUUCAUGGAGAUAUUGACCAAACAUCAACCUUUAUCUUUAACACUUUGUCUGAAAAAUAUUAUGAAUAAACAAUUCAAAAUA
Molecule: unclassified non-coding RNA, 145 nt
Filed under: soil metagenome
Description: partial internal transcribed spacer 1
Source: RNAcentral